AAAAACCAGAUAAAGAGAAGAGUAGUCGUAUGGAUUAUUGUACAGAGAGCCCUGUUUAGCUGAGAGGGGUGAAUAAAAAGUGUGAUGAAGAUGGUCUCAGAUGGGAUAAGUCGAUAUUUAGACUUAUACGGGAACUCCCGUUAUAGAGUUAGGAUAUGAUAGUAUCUGAAGAGGCAUUUUUUAGUGCAAAAAAGGUGGUAACGCGGAAAAAUUUCGUCCUUAUU
This 224-nucleotide non-coding RNA is filed under the name Anaerococcus vaginalis. RNAcentral describes it as "T-box sequence". It matches the Rfam family "T-box leader". From Rfam's summary of the family: Uncharged tRNA acts as the effector for transcription antitermination of genes in the T-box leader family. T-boxes are found upstream of many aminoacyl-tRNA synthetase genes and some amino acid biosynthetic genes usually in Gram-positive bacteria. The record is from RNAcentral. Lineage: Bacteria; Bacillati; Bacillota; Tissierellia; Tissierellales; Peptoniphilaceae.